GAUGAACGCUGGCGGCGUGCCUAAUACAUGCAAGUCGAGCGAACAGACGAGGAGCUUGCUCCUCUAACAUUAGCGGCGGACGGGUGAGUAACACGUGGAUAACCUACCUAUAAGACUGGGAUAACUUCGGGAAACCGGAGCUAAUACCGGAUAAUAUAUUGAACCGCAUGGUUCAAUAGUGAAAGACGGUUUUGCUGUCACUUAUAGAUGGAUCCGCGCCGCAUUAGCUAGUUGGUAAGGUAACAGCUUACCAAGGCAACGAUGCGUAGCCGACCUGAGAGGGUGAUCGGCCAAACUGGAACUGAGACACGGUCCAGACUCCUACGGGAGGCAGCAGUAGGGAAUCUUCCGCAAUGGGCGCAAGCCUGACGGAGCAACGCCGCGUGAGUGAUGAAGGUCUUCGGAUCGUAAAACUCUGUUAUUAGGGAAGAACAAAUGUGUAAGUAACUAUGCACGUCUUGACGAUACCUAAUCAGAAAGCCACGGCUAACUACGUGCCAGCCGCCGCGGUAA
This 513-nucleotide ribosomal RNA is filed under the name uncultured bacterium. RNAcentral describes it as "partial 16S ribosomal RNA". It matches the Rfam family "Bacterial small subunit ribosomal RNA", at positions 28 to 523 of the family's 1533-position model. The record is from RNAcentral.